RNAcentral lists this long non-coding RNA (395 nucleotides) under Sinocyclocheilus grahami. RNAcentral's name for it is "lncRNA (ENSSGRG00000053987.1)". Lineage: Eukaryota; Metazoa; Chordata; Actinopteri; Cypriniformes; Cyprinidae. The record is from RNAcentral.
AUUUUAACAGACAAUGCAAAAGUUCUGAUAUUGUUAGUAACACUGUUUUUUAAUAUAAAUAUAUAUAGAAAGAUUGAGAAAUUGAAAGCUGAAGCUACCAUGGAAAGGAAUGACUGUGCAUCUCUUAUAGAGGGGAUGGAAGAUCAAGCAAAUGAUGAAAAGUGCUACCCAAUGCUGGUUGUUCUGGCAUAUCUUCUGCCACCGUUGCCUGGAAGUCGCUGCAGUGUUAAAUAUGAAAUUUCAUUCCUUCCAAUUUCCAUUUCGCCUGGAGCCAUAUUGCAUCCCUCUGCAGCAGUUUUGAGACCGCAUCAAAGACCAGACCACAGCCAGUCUACAUUGAGAGUUUGAAGAGCACAACAUGACAAUACAUCAUUGCGACGAUUGACAAAAUGACA